CUCAGGACGAACGCUGGCGGCGUGCCUAAUACAUGCAAGUAGAACGCACAGUUUAUACCGUAGCUUGCUACACCAUAGACUGUGAGUUGCGAACGGGUGAGUAACGCGUAGGUAACCUGCCUGGUAGCGGGGGAUAACUAUUGGAAACGAUAGCUAAUACCGCAUAAUAUUAAUUAUUGCAUGAUAAUUGAUUAAAAGGUGCAAUUGCACCACUACCAGAUGGACCUGCGUUGUAUUAGCUAGUAGGUGAGGUAACGGCUCACCUAGGCGACGAUACAUAGCCGACCUGAGAGGGUGAUCGGCCACACUGGGACUGAUACACGGCCCAUACUCCUACGGGAGGCAGCAGUAGGGAAUCUUCGGCAAUGGACGAAAGUCUGACCGAGCAACGCCGCGUGAGUGAACAACGUUUUCGGAUCGUAAAGCUCUGUUGUAACAGAAGACCGGGUGUGAGAGUGGAAAGUUCACACUGUGACGGUAUCUUACCAGACAGGGACGGGUAACUACGUGCCACCCGCCCCGGUAUUACCUACGUCCCGAGCGUCGUCCGG
Molecule: ribosomal RNA, 551 nt
Filed under: uncultured bacterium
Lineage: Bacteria
Description: bacterial SSU rRNA
Rfam family: Bacterial small subunit ribosomal RNA
Source: RNAcentral